CAAUAGCGUAUAUUAAAGUUGUUGCGGUUAAAAAGCUCGUAGUUGGAUUUCUGCUGAGAACGACCGGUCCGCCCUCUGGGUGUGUAUCUGGCUCUUUCUUGGCAUCUUCUUGGUGAACGUUGCUGCACUUGACUGUGUGGAGCGCUACCCAGGACUUUUACUUUGAGGAAAUUAGAGUGUUUCAAGCAGGCAUACGCCUUGAAUACAUUAGCAUGGAAUAAUAAGAUAGGACCUCGGUUCUAUUUUGUUGGUUUCUAGAGCUGAGGUAAUGAUUAAUAGGGAUAGUUGGGGGCAUUCGUAUUUAACUGUCAGAGGUGAAAUUCUUGGAUUUGUUAAAGACGGACUACUGCGAAAACAUUUGCCAAGGAUGUUUUCAUUGG
Molecule: ribosomal RNA, 380 nt
Filed under: uncultured eukaryote
Lineage: Eukaryota
Description: partial 18S ribosomal RNA
Rfam family: Eukaryotic small subunit ribosomal RNA
Source: RNAcentral